UCGGGAAUUUUGGGCAAUGGGCGAAAGCCUGACCCAGCAACGCCGCGUGAAGGAUGAAGUAUUUCGGUAUGUAAACUUCGAAAGAAUAGGAAGAAUAAAUGACGGUACUAUUUAUAAGGUCCGGCUAACUACGUGCCAGCAGCCGCGGUAAUACGUAGGGACCAAGCGUUGUUCGGAUUUACUGGGCGUAAAGGGCGCGUAGGCGGCAAUUCAAGUCAUCUGUGAAAUCUCCGGGCUUAACUCGGAACGGUCAGAUGAUACUGCUUUGCUAGAGUGCAGAAGGGGCAAUCGGAAUUCUUGGUGUAGAGGUGAAAUGCGUAGAUAUCAAGAGGAACACCUGAGGUGAAGACGGGUUGCUGGGCUGACACUGACGCUGAGGCGCGAAAGCCAGGGGAGCAAACGGGGAUUAGAUACCCUGGUAGUCCCUGAGCGGGCUGGCAAGGCGCAU
This 448-nucleotide ribosomal RNA is filed under the name uncultured bacterium. RNAcentral describes it as "bacterial SSU rRNA". It matches the Rfam family "Bacterial small subunit ribosomal RNA", at positions 355 to 825 of the family's 1533-position model. The record is from RNAcentral.